ACCAGACCUGAAGGUGGCCUGCAGACAGAGUAAUGCCAGAGCGGCAAUGUCACAGUGGUGACAUCAUGGGCAACUACUCCUAUCAGGGAAAUGGGAGGUUCAGAACUUUAGACUGCUCACCCCAGGAGACCCCAUCUCUGAGCAGGGAGUCUAUCUUGGCUUCCCGAUGCUGUCAUGGGCUUCAGGCUUCUCUGCUGUGUAGCCCUUUGGCUCUUGGGAGCAGGCCCAGUGGAGUCGGGGGUCACCCAAACUCCAAGACACCUGAUCAAAACAAGAGGAUUGAAAGUGACCCUGAGAUGUUCCCCUGUCUCUGGACACCAAUCUGUGUACUGGUACCAACAGGUUCUGGGCCAGGGCCCCCGGUUCCUCAUUCAGUAUUACAAUAAGGAAGAGAGAGACAAAGGAGACAUCCCGGAGCGGUUUUCAGCUCAGCAGUUCAGGGACUACAGCUCCCAGCUGGACCUGGACUUGCUGGAGCUGGGAGACUCAGCCCUGUAUCUCUGCGCCAGCAGCUAG
This is a non-coding RNA of Zalophus californianus (California sea lion), 516 nucleotides long. The record is from the annotation of a RefSeq genome assembly. Lineage: Eukaryota; Metazoa; Chordata; Mammalia; Carnivora; Otariidae.